CCUACGGGAGGCAGCAGUGGGGAAUAUUGGGCAAUGGACGCAAGUCUGACCCAGCAACGCCGCGUGAAGGAAGAAGGCUUUCGGGUUGUAAACUUCUUUUAAGGGGGAAGAGCAGAAGACGGUACCCCUUGAAUAAGCCACGGCUAACUACGUGCCAGCAGCCGCGGUAAUACGUAGGUGGCAAGAGUUGUCCGGAUUUACUGGGUGGAAAGGGCGUGCAGCCGGAGAGACAAGUCAGAGGUGAAAUCCACGGGCUCAACCCGUGAACUGCAUGUGAAACUGUUUCCCUUGAGUGUCGGAGAGGUAAUCGGAAUGCCUUGUGUAGCGGUGAAAUGCGUAGAUAUUAGGAGGAACACCAGUGGCGAAGGCGGCUUACUGGACUGUAACUGACGUUGAGGCUCGAAAGCGUGGGGAGCAAACAGGAUUAGAUACCCGAGUAGUC
RNAcentral lists this ribosomal RNA (442 nucleotides) under uncultured bacterium. RNAcentral's name for it is "partial 16S ribosomal RNA". It matches the Rfam family "Bacterial small subunit ribosomal RNA", at positions 338 to 795 of the family's 1533-position model. The record is from RNAcentral.